AUAUCAUAUCAUAUCAUAUCACACAUUCAUAUCCUACAUACAAAAAUGUGUACAACUGACUUGGGGGUAAAGCCUGCAAGGGGAAUUAGGGAGACACUGGGUGCGGGUAAGUCCUGAUUCUUGAUCUGGGUGCUGAUUACAUGGGUGUGUUUCCUUUAUCAUGAAAAUGCACCAAAUUGGGCACCUAUGAUUUAUGUCCUUUUCUGAUCCUUGAAUAAACACUUUACCAAAAGCUUUGUAUACACUAUGUCCUUCAGCCAAUGUAGAGCACACGCUCCCAAAUAAAGCCCUUUGUCCUCAGGAAGGCAUCUUCCCUAGUGUUUUUCCUCUCGAUAUGAGAGCAGUUGAGGAGGGUUCUGUAGGGUUGUCCUUCUCUGCAGGCUCCCACUGGUCUGGGUUGAGGGACAGCUCAUCUGACCCAUCUUUGGGUAUUGGCUCUUGGUACUGCAUCCCUGCUCAAGUGUCUGUGGCUUGUGUCACCUGUAGUCUGUUUUCUCAGCAUGGGCAACACCCUGGAAUUUCUUCCGGAGAGAUGGGUUCAGCCCCACCAGCAUGUGGUGUCCCUAGAGUCAUGCAGUGCAUAACCUACACAACGGUCCAUGGCAGCCCUGAUCCUCGUCUCACUUCCCGGGGGUCCUGUGGAGCCUGUGAGACCUAGACAUGCUCUCCAUUUGCCCCCACCUCACCUCUGCCUUCGCCUACUGUUACCGCUGGGCCUGCUUCCCCCUUCUCUAUGCCUCACAGAGACUUGAAGACUUCCUCCAAAGGUGAAUUCAGACGUCUGGCUCCAAGAAUGCAGAGGCAUUUGUUCAAGAUUUAACAGUGAGUCGGGUUGGGCCACCCCUUUGCCCACUUCCCUUCUGACCAUCCAGGUCAGGGGUUAAGCCAGGCUCAGCCUCAGCCCCAGUUCCCCGAUCCACAAAUGUUAAGACAGGGAAUCCAGCUGGUGUUCAAAGAAUAUGCGUUGGCUCAAUGAACAGCUCGAAUGAACGUGAUGUAGAAAUACCGGGAAAUCUACUCACCGACCCAGGAUUUAUCGUCUUAGGUGCUGCUUGAUCUUAUGGUGAUGAUGAAGCGUUUCUGGGAAUAUGGGGCUGACAAAAAUUCAGGCAUUGGUGGGAAGGUGGAUUAAACCGUUUUGAUGGCAGAGGCAGAUCUAGUUUGCAAUAUUUCCCCAUGGUUACAGCUGUGGAUCUUGAUGACCUGACUGUUGGCAGAAGCGCAGUCUUUCCAAGAGCCCCUGCGAGAGUCUUUUCGGGAAGGCCGUGUCAAGAAGCCACGAGGACGUGCCACCACAGGACGUGACGUGCCCAGUGGAAACUUGCAACAGACAUCAGUGGAGGAAGUCACGUCUCUGGAGUGAGGACGGUUAUGGGAACACGUGGAAAUGGUUCUAGAAAGCAGGAGGCAACUCUGCCUGCCUCCAGAGACAGGCUUGUGCCAAUCAGCAUGGGCCAGGAGGCAGAGGCAAGACUCUCCAAGGCAGAGGAAGGUGGCUACAGUGUGAAUCAAAGAGGCCAUUUCUCUGCUCUGAGUUUGGAAGCAGUCUUAAAAUCUCAUACAAGACGCCGGGUCUUGUAAGUCAGACUUUUCAGAGAGAGAAAGGGUUUUCUUAAAACUACCAAGGCUGGAGUUUUCACACAUCAAAAGAUCAAAGCUCAGAAAAGUUGGACGAUCGUUUGGUGAAUCAUAGAGGAGGGCAGAAUGCAGAUAGGACAAAAGGGAAGUUUCUACCUCACAGGAAGAAGAACGGGUAUCUUGUGACUUGGAGAAAGAAAUGAGAAAUAGGGCAAGAAAAGGCAAGUGGGGUCAAGUUCUGAGUGUGCUGGUUCCCCCCACUCUACCCAUUGGGAUCAAACCCCAGUAGGGAAGGGAAGGUAGAAACACCCAGUAGUUUUAAGCACUCUGAGAACAUCAGGACUUGUACCCCCCUGUCCCUGAGUGUAGCCUAAGGAGUCUUCUCUUUCAGAGGAGCCCUGGGCUCAGCCUGACAUUGAAUCCAUCAUGGCGCCCAAGUCAUAGAGUAGAAAUGGUUGAGAGAGGUGCUUGGAAUGCUGGAUGUGAGAUUAGAAUCCCUGGUUCAUGACAUACGGUCCAGCACGAAAUGUGGAGGAGGUCCAGAAGUUCCUGUGUGCCACAGGAAGACCCAAAAAGUAGCUGGGGUGCUACCUGGUGAGUUCACUAGGUUGUCACCAUGGCAAAUGGCAGAGUGACCAAAGCUGAAGGAUGGACUUCUCAAACUGGGGAUCAAAUGGGGGAUCAGGCCUCGGGGAAGCAGGAGCCUCAGGGAGAACCAGGUAAGACCACGGCAGCCGGCCAGAGCCUCCAACCUGCAAGCAUCAUAUAACUGAGUCAGAAGAUCUGAAAAUAAGGAACUUUCCCUUGCAAGAAGUCGCCAUCUUGGAAUGGUGAAAGGAAAAACUUUGUAGUUAUGGAGAAACCCAAAGAUGAAGUAAUUAUCCAAAAGGAGAUGAUUUUACACCAGGAGACUCUGAGAUACCAUAAUGGCAAGAACAAGAAUCUUUUGCCUGCGGUGAUAUGGGGCCUCUGGAGCUGAUUUGGAUUUUGUUGGCAGUCACAUUACGUGCACUUGGGCAAACUCCACCUCCACAAGAUACUCAUGACUUCUUUAGUAACAGACUUCAUUUUUUUCCAGUUAUAAUGGUGAUAGGGUCCUAUUUUAGAGAGUUUGGGGAACAACACUGUAAAGAAGAAGAAAAUAAAUGUCAACCCGUCAUGUCACAGAAUAGAGAUAACCACUGCUACCGUCUUGGUUUAUUUCCUUCCUGUCAGUUUGUAUGUGUGUUGUGUGUGUGCGUUAUUGUGACUGCACAUUUGUACAUCUUGUAUGUGGACAGGAUUCUUUAACGCAUGAGGCGCUUUUGCUUGUGGGAAGGAAUACCCACUACUAUGUUACUUUAUAACCUUCAAACCAUGAACAAUUCCAAAUGUCUGCAGUAGUCAUUACCACUGAAAUGGAAAUGUAAGAAAUUAACAAAUUUGAUUUCCCCCAAUGCUUAAACAUUGAAGUAUGACCAAUUACACUUCCCUAGACAUUUGAUGACAAAUCUCCAAUACAUCAAAUGAGCUCGUGUGCUUUUAAGUGCCUUAAAAUGGGGACAGAACAUGACCACAAUUUGACAAGGAUUUCUGUAUGGAACGGUGCUUAUACUCACACACUUAACAAAGGUGCCAAGACCAUGGAUUUAUAGCCUCUCUUCAUCAUCAUCUUCUUCCCGUGUUUAUCUCUCCCCAGGGGCGCAACUUUCCUUCCCUCAGCCUACAGAGCUGGGUGACUGUGAUGGGACAAAGGACGACGGGUCAGGAACUUUUCAGAUUACUGAUGCCGACAGCUCUGUUAUGGUUUGAUUUAUUGUAGACCUUGUCUUUGCCCCCAGAAUGACACUUGCUCUGGUAUUUUUCACUCUGUAGCCUGACCUGUUAUGAUCCUGUUUUGCAAUUGUCCAGGGGAAGGGUGGUUGGUAGGGGGUGUUGCUGGCCUGAUUUAGAUAAAAAUCUGUCAUACUGGGAGCGCCUGGGUGGCUCAGUCGGUUGGGCGACCGACUCGGGCUCCGGUCAUGAUCUAACAGGUCGUGAGUUUGAGCCCCGCGUCAGGGUCUGUGCUGAAAGCUCAGAGCCUAGAGCCUGCAUCGGAUUCUGUGUCCCCCCCCCCCCUGCCCCUCCCCUGCUCAUGCUCUGUCUCGUACUGUCUCUAAUAAAUCAAUAAAUGGUAAAAAAAUAAAAAAUAAAAAAAAAUCUGUCAUACUGAAACUACAGCUUCUCGUUCUCAUUGACUAUUUGGCAUAUAAUAUUGACAUUCUUGUUUUUUCUCCUAAUAUUGUUUCAUAAUUUUAAUGGCUGCAUAACAUCUGCCAGGAUGGAUGUGCCAUCAUUUAGUUAACCCGUUUCCUUAACUGUUGGGCAUUUACAUUGAACUCAAUUUGGUUUUCAUUAAACUCAUCUCCCUUUGAACAAUGCUUGCUCAUGAAUCUCAGCGUACCUUUCUGGUUUCUUGGGUUAAAGUCAUAGAAGGGAACCUCCGUGGUUGAUGGUUAUGAAGAUAUUCAGGGCUUUUGUAAUGUAAUGCCAAAUUGCUUUCUAGAACAGCGCUGUAGGCCUCAUUGUCGUGUGUGGGUCCCACACAGAAUAGGAGAAGGCAUUGCCAUCUUCCUCGGAGCCAGGGGAAUAAAGACACAGAGCAGGCUGAGGGGAGAGUUACUCCUGAAGGUUCCGGGGAAGGGCGGUCCAUGCCAGGGUUCCAGAUAUCACCCGUAUCACUCACAUACGGUAAGGACAAAUCUCGAUCCAGCUUGACAAGGCCAGG
Long non-coding RNA from Acinonyx jubatus (cheetah), 4324 nucleotides. RefSeq lists it as uncharacterized. Lineage: Eukaryota; Metazoa; Chordata; Mammalia; Carnivora; Felidae. The transcript is spliced from 3 exons. The record is from RefSeq and is a predicted model, not a curated record.